Molecule: long non-coding RNA, 584 nt
Organism: Cyprinodon tularosa
Lineage: Eukaryota; Metazoa; Chordata; Actinopteri; Cyprinodontiformes; Cyprinodontidae
Exons: 3
Source: RefSeq, a predicted model, not a curated record
AAUAUGUACAGUGUGAUUUAUAUCAGCCAACAAAAUGUGGGCUAGCCUUGGAAAUAACUUGUAAGCUGAUUUAGGAUUUGGUGGUAGAUGACAAUUGUUAAACUAGUCGGUCAUUUCAAUGCUAUGAUAGUUAAAUUUACUUUUGUGUACCCUUUCUGUUUAAGCUAACUGCUGAAUUUAAGAGGAUUACAACCAUCAGUUUGCUGUCAAAGUUCUUCUCCCAGCUGGAUGCUCAUUCUUCAAACUUGAUGAGGGUGUUUGGCAAGAAAGGCGGCGUUCAAGGAAGAAAGAUAAGGAGCAUCAUGAUACCCAUCACCAAGACUGACGCCAUUGAUGUCAAAAGAGAGUGAAUCAUCAAAGCCCUGUGUGUGUACCUGAAUGAAGAGCCCGAGAACCUUGUGAAAGAAUACAUGAACACAGAUUGUGGGAGCAGUGAAGCUGCAGUGAUGGAGACGACAUUUGGAAUAUUUGUCAUUCGCAAGGAAGGUGCAGAGCCAGGUGAUGGACCGGAAGAUGUAGGUAUAGUUCUGGAUGGGCUCGGAAACGUGCCACUUGCUGUGGUCAUGUUGUUUGCGCUUGUAUAU